AAAGGGAGACCUAAUUCAGGUAGGAGACGAAAAAAAGUAGUCCCUACCAAGAAUCAAUCCCAAAAGGUCGGAGCGAGGCAAAAUUGGCUUUCAAACUAGGUUCUGGGUUCACAUAAGACCUGAAUCAGGAACAAGGGCUAUUAGCUCAGGUGGUUAGAGCGCACCCCUGAUAAGGGUGAGGUCCCUGGUUCGAGUCCAGGAUGGCCCACCUGCACAGGUGGCAAAAACAAAGAAAAGAAGCUCCGAAUCAGCACCUUAUCUUACUCAUAUAGUAAGAGAGAAUGCUGGCUCUGAGUUCAGAGUCCAGAGGAACCUUGAAAACUGCAUAGAGCUAGGUGAAAAAGCCAAAAAAGAAGACCGCAAG
RNAcentral lists this transfer RNA (364 nucleotides) under uncultured Microcystis sp. RNAcentral describes it as "partial 16S-23S ribosomal RNA intergenic spacer". The stretch from base 135 to 208 matches the Rfam family "tRNA". The record is from RNAcentral. Lineage: Bacteria; Bacillati; Cyanobacteriota; Cyanophyceae; Chroococcales; Microcystaceae.